CCCUUAGAUGUCCGGGGCUGCACGCGCGCUACACUGAAGGAAUCAGCGUGCUAAAACCAUUGUCGAAAGGCAUUGGUAAACCCAUUAAAAUCCUACGUGAUUGGGAUCUGGAAUUGCAAUUAUUUCCCUUGAACGAGGAAUUCCCAGUAAGUGUGGGUCAUAAGCUCGCGUUGAUUACGUCCCUGCCCUUUGUACACACCGCCCGUCGCUGCCCGGGACUGAGCCGUUUCGAGAAAAGCGGGGACUGCUGCUGUCGGGGCUUUCGGGCCUUGGCUUCGGUGGAAACCGCUUUAAUCGCAGUGGCUUGAACCGGGCAAAAGUCGUAACA
This 328-nucleotide ribosomal RNA is filed under the name uncultured eukaryote. Its description in RNAcentral is "partial 18S ribosomal RNA". It matches the Rfam family "Eukaryotic small subunit ribosomal RNA", at positions 1470 to 1796 of the family's 1831-position model. The record is from RNAcentral.